This is a non-coding RNA of Cordylochernes scorpioides, 76 nucleotides long. The record is from the annotation of a GenBank genome assembly. Lineage: Eukaryota; Metazoa; Arthropoda; Arachnida; Pseudoscorpiones; Chernetidae.
GUCCAGGGAUGGGAAUCGAACCCACAGUGUUCCGCUUACCGGGCACAUGCCAUCAUGUCCACUAGGCUACCCUGGA